Molecule: transfer RNA, 68 nt
Filed under: Marmota monax (woodchuck)
Lineage: Eukaryota; Metazoa; Chordata; Mammalia; Rodentia; Sciuridae
Description: tRNA.Ala
Source: RNAcentral
GUUGUGGCUCAGGGAUAGAGCGCUCGCCUAGCACGUGUGAGGCCCUGGGUUUGAUCCUCAGGACAACA